UACGUAGGGUCCGAGCGUUGUCCGGAAUUACUGGGCGUAAAGAGCUCGUAGGUGGUUUGUCGCGUUGUUCGUGAAAACUCACAGCUUAACUGUGGGCGUGCGGGCGAUACGGGCAGACUAGAGUACUGCAGGGGAGACUGGAAUUCCUGGUGUAGCGGUGGAAUGCGCAGAUAUCAGGAGGAACACCGAUGGCGAAGGCAGUUCUCUGGGCCGUAACUGACGCUGAGGAGCGAAAGCGUGGGGAGCGAACAGG
RNAcentral lists this ribosomal RNA (253 nucleotides) under uncultured bacterium. RNAcentral describes it as "partial 16S ribosomal RNA". It matches the Rfam family "Bacterial small subunit ribosomal RNA", at positions 524 to 776 of the family's 1533-position model. The record is from RNAcentral.